AACGAACGCUGGCGGCAUGCCUAACACAUGCAAGUCGAACGGGAUCCUAGCUUGCUAGGUGAGAGUGGCGGACGGGUGAGUAACACGUGGGAAUCUGCCUUCUGGUUCGGGAUAACCGCGGGAAACUGCGGCUAAUACCGAAUGCCCUCGCGAGAGGAAAGAUUUAUCGCCAGAAGAGGAGCCCGCGUCCGAUUAGGUAGUUGGUGGGGUAAAGGCCUACCAAGCCGACGAUCGGUAGCUGGUCUGAGAGGAUGAUCAGCCACACUGGGACUGAGAUACGGCCCAGACUCCUACGGGAGGCAGCAGUGGGGAAUAUUGGACAAUGGGGGCAACCCUGAUCCAGCAAUGCCGCGUGAGUGAUGAAGGCCUUAGGGUUGUAAAGCUCUUUUGCCAGGGAAGAUGAUGACUGUACCUGGAGAAUAAGCCCCGGCUAACUUCGUGCCAGCAGCCGCGGUAAU
This 458-nucleotide ribosomal RNA is filed under the name uncultured bacterium. RNAcentral describes it as "bacterial SSU rRNA". It matches the Rfam family "Bacterial small subunit ribosomal RNA", at positions 29 to 524 of the family's 1533-position model. The record is from RNAcentral.